GGCUCAGAUUGAACGCUGGCGGCAGGCUUAACACAUGCAAGUCGAGCGGAGAUGAGGUGCUUGCACCUUAUCUUAGCGGCGGACGGGUGAGUAAUGCUUAGGAAUCUGCCUAUUAGUGGGGGACAACAUUCCGAAAGGAAUGCUAAUACCGCAUACGUCCUACGGGAGAAAGCAGGGGAUCUUCGGACCUUGCGCUAAUAGAUGAGCCUAAGUCGGAUUGGCUAGUUGGUGGGGUAAAGGCCUACCAAGGCGACGAUCUGUAGCGGGUCUGAGAGGAUGAUCCGCCACACUGGGACUGAGACACGGCCCAGACUCCUACGGGAGGCAGCAGUGGGGAAUAUUGGACAAUGGGGGGAACCCUGAUCCAGCCAUGCCGCGUGUGUGAAGAAGGCCUUAUGGUUGUAAAGCACUUUAAGCGAGGAGGAGGCUACUGAGACUAAUACUCUUGGAUAGUGGACGUUACUCGCAGAAUAAGCACCGGCUAACUCUGUGCCAGCAGCCGCGGUAAUACAGAGGGUGCGAGCGUUAAUCGGAUUUACUGGGCGUAAAGCGUGCGUAGGCGGCUUUUUAAGUCGGAUGUGAAAUCCCCGAGCUUAACUUGGGAAUUGCAUUCGAUACUGGGAAGCUAGAGUAUGGGAGAGGAUGGUAGAAUUCCAGGUGUAGCGGUGAAAUGCGUAGAGAUCUGGAGGAAUACCGAUGGCGAAGGCAGCCAUCUGGCCUAAUACUGACGCUGAGGUACG
RNAcentral lists this ribosomal RNA (740 nucleotides) under uncultured Acinetobacter sp. RNAcentral's name for it is "bacterial SSU rRNA". It matches the Rfam family "Bacterial small subunit ribosomal RNA", at positions 21 to 755 of the family's 1533-position model. The record is from RNAcentral. Lineage: Bacteria; Pseudomonadati; Pseudomonadota; Gammaproteobacteria; Moraxellales; Moraxellaceae.